GAAAUGCGAUAAGUAAUGUGAAUUGGAGAAUUCCGUGAAUCAUCGAAUCUUUGAACGCACAUUGCGCCCCCUGGCAUUCCGGGGGGCACACCUGUUCGAGCGCCGUUUAACAACUAAGGCUUUGCCUUGCGUUGACCAUUCCCGCCGGGGAGCGGUCGAAAAACGUGAAGACUCCAAUAGACGGAAGCAGUACGCAAAAGUAUUGGUGACCGGCCUUUUUGGGUCUUGAUAUUCUCAACGUAUGGCCUCGGAUCAGGUGGGGAUACCCGCUGAACUUAA
RNAcentral lists this unclassified non-coding RNA (279 nucleotides) under uncultured Fusicladium. RNAcentral's name for it is "sequence contains ITS1". The stretch from base 1 to 105 matches the Rfam family "5.8S ribosomal RNA", at positions 50 to 154 of the family's 154-position model. Lineage: Eukaryota; Fungi; Ascomycota; Dothideomycetes; Venturiales; Sympoventuriaceae. The record is from RNAcentral.